GUCGUUAAGAGAAAACAAAUACUGUCAAAACUGGUUAAGCAAAAUAUAGAUAUUGUGUGCCUCCAAGAGGUACAUAUCAAGAAUCAAGACAAAAAGGCUUUAGAAUUUAAUAAAUUGGGGAAACUCCAUACUGCAUUGCCUGAGAAAAAAAAAGAUGG
Molecule: non-coding RNA, 158 nt
Organism: Notechis scutatus (mainland tiger snake)
Lineage: Eukaryota; Metazoa; Chordata; Lepidosauria; Squamata; Elapidae
Source: RefSeq, a predicted model, not a curated record